GAGCUCGUAGGCGGUUUGUCGCGUCUGCUGUGAAAUCCCGAGGCUCAACCUCGGGCCUGCAGUGGGUACGGGCAGACUAGAGUGCGGUAGGGGAGAUUGGAAUUCCUGGUGUAGCGGUGGAAUGCGCAGAUAUCAGGAGGAACACCGAUGGCGAAGGCAGAUCUCUGGGCCGUAACUGACGCUGAGGAGCGAAAGGGUGGGGAGCAAACAGGAUUAGA
RNAcentral lists this ribosomal RNA (218 nucleotides) under bacterium. RNAcentral's name for it is "partial 16S ribosomal RNA". It matches the Rfam family "Bacterial small subunit ribosomal RNA", at positions 565 to 782 of the family's 1533-position model. The record is from RNAcentral.